RNAcentral lists this ribosomal RNA (253 nucleotides) under uncultured bacterium. Its description in RNAcentral is "partial 16S ribosomal RNA". It matches the Rfam family "Bacterial small subunit ribosomal RNA", at positions 524 to 776 of the family's 1533-position model. The record is from RNAcentral.
UACGAAGGGUGCAAACGUUGCUCGGAAUUAUUGGGCGUAAAGCGCACGUAGGCGGCUUGGCAAGUCGGAUGUGAAAUCCCUCGGCUCAACCAAGGAAGUGCAUCCGAAACUGCUGAGCUUGAGUACGAAAGAGGAUCGCGGAAUUCCCGGUGUAGAGGUGAAAUUCGUAGAUAUCGGGAGGAACACCAGUGGCGAAGGCGGCGACCUGGGUCGAUACUGACGCUGAGGUGCGAAAGCGUGGGGAGCAAACAGG